This 257-nucleotide ribosomal RNA is filed under the name uncultured bacterium. Its description in RNAcentral is "partial 16S ribosomal RNA". It matches the Rfam family "Bacterial small subunit ribosomal RNA", at positions 524 to 776 of the family's 1533-position model. The record is from RNAcentral.
GACAGAGGGUGCAAACGUUUGUUCGGAAUUACUGGGCGUAAAGCGCGUGUAGGUGGCAAGGCAAGUCGGGUGUGAAAGCCCUGGGCUCAACCCAGGAAGUGCACUCGAUACUGCCUCGCUAGAGUCCCGGAGAGGUUGGUGGAACUCUCGGUGUAGAGGUGAAAUUCGUAGAUAUCGAGAAGAACACCGGUGGCGAAGGCGGCCAACUGGACGGUGACUGACACUGAGACGCGAAAGCGUGGGGGAGACCAAACAGG